GUGAGGAAUAUUGGACAAUGGGCGCAAGCCUGAUCCAGCCAUGCCGCGUGCAGGAAGACGCAUCUAUGGUGUGUAAACUGCUUUUGUACGGAACGAAACGGUCCUGGCUAAUACCCGGGGCUAAUGACGGUACCGUAAGAAUAAGCACCGGCUAACUACGUGCCAGCAGCCGCGGUAAUACGUAGGGUGCGAGCGUUAAUCGGAAUUACUGGGCGUAAAGCGUGCGCAGGCGGUGCUGUAAGACAGGCGUGAAAUCCCCGGGCUCAACCUGGGAAUUGCGCUUGUGACUGCAGUGCUGGAGUGCGGCAGAGGGGGAUGGAAUUCCGCGUGUAGCAGUGAAAUGCGUAGAUAUGCGGAGGAACACCGAUGGCGAAGGCAAUCCCCUGGGCCUGCACUGACGCUCAUGCACGAAAGCGUGGGGAGCAAACAGGAUUAGAAACCCCAGUAGUCC
Molecule: ribosomal RNA, 451 nt
Filed under: uncultured bacterium
Lineage: Bacteria
Description: partial 16S ribosomal RNA
Rfam family: Bacterial small subunit ribosomal RNA
Source: RNAcentral